RNAcentral lists this ribosomal RNA (305 nucleotides) under uncultured bacterium. RNAcentral's name for it is "partial 16S ribosomal RNA". It matches the Rfam family "Bacterial small subunit ribosomal RNA", at positions 508 to 807 of the family's 1533-position model. The record is from RNAcentral.
ACAGCAGCCGCCACGGUAAUACCGAGGGUGCGAGCGUUAAUCGGAUUUACUGGGCGUAAAGCGUGCGCAGGCGGUUAUAUAAGACAGAUGUGAAAUCCCCGGGCUCAACCUGGGAACUGCAUUUGUGACUGUAUAGCUAGAGUACGGCAGAGGGGGAUGGAAUUCCGCGUGUAGCAGUGAAAUGCGUAGAUAUGCGGAGGAACACCGAUGGCGAAGGCAAUCCCCUGGGCCUGUACUGACGCUCAUGCACGAAAGCGUGGGGAGCAAACAGGAUUAGAUACCCCAGUAGUCCCUGUCUCUUAUAC